RNAcentral lists this ribosomal RNA (643 nucleotides) under uncultured bacterium. RNAcentral's name for it is "bacterial SSU rRNA". It matches the Rfam family "Bacterial small subunit ribosomal RNA", at positions 232 to 885 of the family's 1533-position model. The record is from RNAcentral.
CGCGGCCUAUCAGCUUGUUGGUGGGGUGAUGGCCUACCAAGGCGACGACGGGUAGCCGGCCUGAGAGGGUGACCGGCCACACUGGGACUGAGACACGGCCCAGACUCCUACGGGAGGCAGCAGUGGGGAAUAUUGCACAAUGGGCGGAAGCCUGAUGCAGCGACGCCGCGUGGGGGAUGACGGCCUUCGGGUUGUAAACCCCUUUCGCCCGGGACGAAGCGAGAGUGACGGUACCGGGAGAAGAAGCACCGGCCAACGACGUGCCAGCAGCCGCGGUAAUACGUAGGGUGCAAGCGUUGUCCGGAAUUAUUGGGCGUAAAGAGCUCGUAGGCGGCUUGUCGCGUCUGCUGUGAAAACGCAAGGCUUAACCUUGCGCCUGCAGUGGGUACGGGCAGGCUAGAGUGCGGUAGGGGAGACUGGAAUUCCUGGUGUAGCGGUGGAAUGCGCAGAUAUCAGGAGGAACACCGGUGGCGAAGGCGGGUCUCUGGGCCGUUACUGACGCUGAGGAGCGAAAGCAUGGGGAGCGAACAGGAUUAGAUACCCUGGUAGUCCAUGCCGUAAACGUUGGGCACUAGGUGUGGGAUCCAUUCCACGGGUUCCGUGCCGCAGCUAACGCAUUAAGUGCCCCGCCUGGGGAGUACGG